GUUUCUUAAAAAAUAACACUGCCAGUCUUAACAUCUGCCAUAUCAAUAGUCAAAGGCAAUUAAGCUGAGAGAAGAAUAGAGUGUAAAUCCCAAAGUUUCAUGUAUGUUUAAUAGGGGUUAUAUGGGUCAGAAACAAAGUGUUGUGUGAAAAUAUUUAAAUCACCCUUCAAGCAUAGGGUUGUAAGGCAUAUAUCUUCAACUGUUGAUAAACUAUAACAAUUCCUUAAACAACUUGUGC
Molecule: non-coding RNA, 238 nt
Organism: Pelobates cultripes (western spadefoot toad)
Lineage: Eukaryota; Metazoa; Chordata; Amphibia; Anura; Pelobatidae
Source: the annotation of a GenBank genome assembly